GCAGAAGAUGCCGGCCACACCAGAGGGAAGAAGCAGUAAGGGAGGAAGGAAUCUAGUGGCCUUAGCUAGCCACCUGAGUUAAAUCUUCACUGCCACCUGACUUUGGCCAGAGGAUACUGGUGCUGAAGCCUGCAUGGCAAGGCAGUGAGGAAAAAUGUCAAGGGAUGCACUGUCCUUUCCGGUGGCCCACGUGACUGCCCACCGCAUGGGUUCCUAUGAACUCCCACGAUGAGAAAGAGGCCCUGCCCGGGGAGCCGUGUGGAUUUUCCCCGGCCGGCCACCCUGGGAGCAGCAGCUGCCUUGCCUGUGGAA
Molecule: long non-coding RNA, 312 nt
Organism: Phyllostomus hastatus (greater spear-nosed bat)
Lineage: Eukaryota; Metazoa; Chordata; Mammalia; Chiroptera; Phyllostomidae
Exons: 3
Source: RefSeq, a predicted model, not a curated record